UACGGAGGAUCCGAGCGUUAUCCGGAUUUAUUGGGUUUAAAGGGUGCGCAGGCGGGGGAUUAAGUCGGCGGUGAAAUUUUGCAGCUUAACUGUAAAAGUGCCGUUGAUACUGUGAGGCUAGGAUUUGGUUGCUGUGGGUGGAAUGUGUGGUGUAGCGGUGAAAUGCUUAGAGAUCACACAGAAUAUCGAUUGCGAAGGCAGCUCACAAAGCCAAGAUUGACGCUGAGGCACGAAAGUGUGGGGAUCAAACAGGAUUAGA
This 259-nucleotide ribosomal RNA is filed under the name uncultured prokaryote. RNAcentral describes it as "partial 16S ribosomal RNA". It matches the Rfam family "Bacterial small subunit ribosomal RNA", at positions 524 to 782 of the family's 1533-position model. The record is from RNAcentral.